GCCACCACGUGAGAUUACCUGCGGAUUUAGACACACCGUCAUUCAUUGGCUGAGGACGCCAGUGCUACUUUACUUUUACAUGAGGUUCUGGUGCAUCCCGUGUGGGUUCUGCCAGCUGAUAUCGGCGGUGCUCAUCUCCAUUUCCGAGGAUGUGAGCCAUUGCUGUCUGAAGACGAACCUGUGGUCAUGUGGCCAGCACGAUGCCAGAGAGUGCUGCUACCUUUCCACCAAGAUGAUAAAAGAGGAGCUUAAGAUAUCUUCACAAGGAAAAUCUCAAUGUACACUCAGAGCUAUGUCAGUGGAGUCACCAGCAGAGGCAUAUGGCUGAGAUUACGCUAACCAAGCCCAGCUUGUGCUUAACCAAGAAAUGAUCUGAGGACAGAAUCACAGGAACAACUGACCGGGUGAGUCUGAGAAAUGCACACUCUGCACCAUUGUUUUUCUGCUGCCAACUCCACUCCGUCCAGUCCACUAGAAGUGUGCACCAGCCACAAGGCUUGCCUUAGUUCUGAUGAUUUGGAGCAUUAGAAAGCAGACACAUUUGGUUAUCUGCUGCAUCUCAGGUAGUGAAACACAGUUAAGGUUUGGAAAUCCAAAGCUUCAUGU
Long non-coding RNA from Varanus komodoensis (Komodo dragon), 606 nucleotides. RefSeq lists it as uncharacterized. The record is from RefSeq and is a predicted model, not a curated record. Lineage: Eukaryota; Metazoa; Chordata; Lepidosauria; Squamata; Varanidae. The transcript is spliced from 3 exons.